Molecule: ribosomal RNA, 508 nt
Filed under: Aposthonia borneensis
Lineage: Eukaryota; Metazoa; Arthropoda; Insecta; Embioptera; Oligotomidae
Description: partial 16S ribosomal RNA
Source: RNAcentral
GGUUUUUUAUUUUAAUUUAAGAUUUAUUCUGCUCAAUGAAUAAGUUAAAUGGCUGCGGUAAUUUGACUGUGUGAAAGUAGCAUAAUAAUUAGUUUAUUAAUUGUAAACUUGUAUGAAUGAAUUGAUGAAAUGUUGGCUGUCUUUUUUUAAUAGUGAUUGAAUUUUACUUUUAAGUUAAAAGUCUUAAUUGUUUUAAUGGGACGAGAAGACCCUAUAGAAUUUUAUUUUUAAUUAUUUAUGUUUUUUAAAUAUUUUUUAUAUAUUUGUGAAAAGAUUUUGUUGGGGUGAUGGAUAGAUUUAAUUAUUUUUGUUUUGGAUAUUUACAAUUUAAUUGAUUAUUUUUUGCUUUUUAGGGUAGUUUAAGAUUAAAUUACCUUAGGGUUAACAGCGUUAUUUAUAUGGAGAGUUCUAAUCAAUAUAUAAGUUUGCGACCUCGAUGUUGAAUUAAGAUUUAUUUUUUGUAGAAGUUUAUAAUUAAUUUGGGUCUGUUCGACCUUUUAAUCUUACA